Molecule: ribosomal RNA, 497 nt
Filed under: uncultured bacterium
Lineage: Bacteria
Description: partial 16S ribosomal RNA
Rfam family: Bacterial small subunit ribosomal RNA
Source: RNAcentral
GAUGAACGCUGGCGGCGUGCCUAAUACAUGCAAGUCGAGCGAACAGACGAGGAGCUUGCUCCUCUGACGUUAGCGGCGGACGGGUGAGUAACACGUGGAUAACCUACCUAUAAGACUGGGAUAACUUCGGGAAACCGGAGCUAAUACCGGAUAAUAUAUUGAACCGCAUGGUUCAAUAGUGAAAGACGGUUUUGCUGUCACUUAUAGAUGGAUCCGCGCCGCAUUAGCUAGUUGGUAAGGUAACGGCUUACCAAGGCAACGAUGCGUAGCCGACCUGAGAGGGUGAUCGGCCACACUGGAACUGAGACACGGUCCAGACUCCUACGGGAGGCAGAAGUAGGGAAUCUUCAGCAAUGGGCGAAAGCCUGACGGAGCAACGCCGCGUGAGUGAUGAAGGUCUUCGGAUCGUAAAACUCUGUUAUUAGGGAAGAACAAAUGUGUAAGUAACUAUGCACGUCUUGACGGUACCUAAUCAGAAAGCCACGGCUAACUACGUG